Long non-coding RNA from Harpia harpyja (harpy eagle), 757 nucleotides. RefSeq lists it as uncharacterized. NCBI's taxonomy places the organism in Eukaryota, Metazoa, Chordata, Aves, Accipitriformes, Accipitridae. The transcript is spliced from 4 exons. The record is from RefSeq and is a predicted model, not a curated record.
CAUGUUGGAGAACUUCAUGAAAGACUGUCUCUCGUGGGUGAGACCCCACACAGGAGCAGAGGAAGAGUGUGAGGAGGAAGGAGCGGCAGAGACAAUGCGUUGUGGACGGACCACAACCCCCAUCCCCUAUCCUACUCUGCCAGUCGGAGAGAGGAGAUAGAGAAGUGUCUAAGAUCUUCAGGACACAGGCUCUUCAUGUAUGCAGUGUUGUGUAAACUGUUGUGUUAUAAACCAGAUGCUCAACGGGAGUAAAUCAGCACUGUGUCAUUAAAGUUCAGCUUUGGAUUGCCAAUUAACUGAAGGAUAGCUACUCAUGGUGGUGCCUCACAAAGCUCUCACAUGACCUGGAUGAGAGCUGUGCAAAAGGUACAAAAGUUUAUCACUGGUGCAACCAGUUCAAAAAUAUCGAUUACAGAAGAGGCAAGACCAGCAGUGGAACGAGCACUGUGUCACUUCACAUCCUUGGCAGAGAGAUGACUUUUAACACCCUAGUUAGAAUUUAAACACACCGGUAACAGGUCAACAGGAGCUCACAGAGGCUGACUCUGAGUCACAAUAUUCCUUAUCUGAUGAUACACAAGUAUUUUGUGUGUGUGUGAGACAAGAUCUUCUGGAUCCCAAUAAUGUAGGUAUUCAGGCAAGUACUGUGUUUCACGUAUGUUUAUCUCAUCUGUCAUCCACGUCCCAGCUGGCUGCUGCUCACUCAACUUCAGCGAAUGAGUGUAAUGGCUUUGAGACUAUGCUAUCUGUGUAUUUU